GUGCAAAGGUAGCGUAAUCACUUGUCUUUUAAAUGAAGACCCGUAUGAAUGGCAUCACGAGGGCUUAACUGUCUCCCUUUUCCAGUCAAUGAAAUUGACCUCCCCGUGCAGAGGCGGGGAUAAACACAUAAGACGAGAAGACCCUGUGGAGCUUUAGACCUAAAAUAAGCUACGUUUAACAGCCUGUAAAAUCAGAAAUAACUUAGUAGUUUUUAUUGAAGUGUCUUUGGUUGGGGCGACCGAGGGGUAAAACACAACCCCCAUGUGGACCGGGGAUACUAUCCCUAAUACCAAGGGCCUCCCCCCCAAGUAACAGAACUUCUGACCUUAUGAUCCGGCACAGCCGAUUAACGAACCGAGUUACCCCAGGGAUAACAGCGCAAUCCCCUCUAAGAGCCCAUAUCGACGAGGGGGUUUACGACCUCGA
Molecule: ribosomal RNA, 427 nt
Filed under: Muraenolepis marmorata (marbled moray cod)
Lineage: Eukaryota; Metazoa; Chordata; Actinopteri; Gadiformes; Muraenolepididae
Description: partial 16S ribosomal RNA
Rfam family: Bacterial large subunit ribosomal RNA
Source: RNAcentral